Molecule: long non-coding RNA, 383 nt
Organism: Prosopis cineraria
Lineage: Eukaryota; Viridiplantae; Streptophyta; Magnoliopsida; Fabales; Fabaceae
Exons: 2
Source: RefSeq, a predicted model, not a curated record
AUCAGCUUCAAGAGUUUCCCUCCUUGUUAGCCCGUACGAUGAACAUUCGGACAUUUGAUCGAGCAUGAUGUCUUUGGGGAGAACCUCGUUGUCUGCGUACUGGAUUGCUGGCACUGAUUUCCCUAUCACCUUUUCAUCACCAUUUCAAUUGCAUUGACCCUUUUCUGCAUGUGUUGGAAGUCUGGAAGGGAAACUGGUGCCGUAAUCUGAUCUCUACUUGUUUGCUCACUUCCUUCAGCGUAUUGUUUUUGCGCCAAAUUGCUAGCCUGGAAACAGUGAGUGGAAGCCAUAAGUUAUAUCCAGAAAAAGAAAUGCAUGCUAUUAUGAUAUAUUUAUAUAGUGCAUAUAAACAUCUAUAUGUAAUACAAAAAUUUAACGAGUCA